Molecule: long non-coding RNA, 218 nt
Filed under: Pan troglodytes (chimpanzee)
Lineage: Eukaryota; Metazoa; Chordata; Mammalia; Primates; Hominidae
Description: long non-coding RNA NONPTRT001172
Source: RNAcentral
UAAGACAAUGUUUAAAUAAACAUUUAAGUAAUAUGUAAAACACAUUUUGUAGGUGUGCCAAAAUCAACCUAUCACAUGCAUUUUUCAAUUUGAGCUCUAACUGCUGACUUCAGGCAGCUGUCAACUGGCUGUUCUCAGAGUGAUUGUCACCUGUUGGAAAAAUUCUCAACAGAUAUCCAUCACAGGUGGCAAGGAAUGCUUUGUUUUGUUUUAAUUUU